ACACCAGAGUCACCAGCUCCAAAUAUAUUGUAAACAUCAGUAGUGUGCAGGAUUAAUUCUCCAAGCCUUCAAUUUUCGUUCAGCAGGUUAAUCAGGAAAAUGAGCUGGGCAGGAGGAGAUUGGAUGUGCCCUUCAUGCCAACACAUAAAUUUCAAGAAAAGGGAAGCCUGCCAACAUUGCAGCUACCCCAAGUAUGGUGGCCCUGAUCCAACCACAUUCACAUACAACCGGCCAGGGGACUGGUAUUGCAUUGCCAUGAACUGUGGAUCCCAUAAUUACGCUAGCAGGUCAAGCUGCUAUAGAUGUGGUGCAAUGAAGAAUGAUUAUGGUGGGGGCUAUGGAGCAGGUAAUAUGUACGGCUCUGAUGGCAGUGUUCCUCCUGGAUGGAAAAAUGGUGAUUGGAUUUGCAGUAGAAUGGGAUGUGGAGAGCAUAAUUAUGCUAGCAGGACAGAAUGUUACAAAUGCAAAACACCAAGGGAUUACAGUGGUGGAGUUUAGCCAAGAAAAUGCAAUUACAAAGACCAUUUUUUUCUUUUGGCUGAUUAAAGACCAUCUUUCUUGCCUUCUAUUUGCAGAAGAAUAAUAAUGAUGAGCUUUAGAAUUAUGAUCACGUUCGAAGACGUGCCCAUAUUCAAGGGCUUAGUCAUGUAUUAGAAUUUGGAAGGCUUUCUGGCUUUUGUAUGAUUAUUGGUGUUCUUGCAUGAAAAUUAAAGAAUCCCUUCUGUUCUUCUUCUUCUUU
This 739-nucleotide unclassified non-coding RNA is filed under the name Hevea brasiliensis (rubber tree). Lineage: Eukaryota; Viridiplantae; Streptophyta; Magnoliopsida; Malpighiales; Euphorbiaceae. The record is from RNAcentral.